RNAcentral lists this ribosomal RNA (406 nucleotides) under uncultured bacterium. Its description in RNAcentral is "partial 16S ribosomal RNA". It matches the Rfam family "Bacterial small subunit ribosomal RNA", at positions 29 to 526 of the family's 1533-position model. The record is from RNAcentral.
AUUGAACGCUGGCGGCAGGCUUAACACAUGCAAGUCGAGCGAGCGGCGGACGGGUGAGAAAGGUCGGGGAAACGGCCUGAUGGAGGGGGAUAACUACGGGAAACGGUAGCUAAUACCGCAUACCAUCAGAUGUGCCCAGAUGGGAUUAGCUAGUUGGUGGGGUAAUGGCUCACCUAGGCGACGACGCCUAGCUGGUCCGAGAGGAUGACCAGCAACACUGGAACUGAGACACGGUCCAGACUCCUACGGGAGGCAGCAGUGGGGAAUAUUGGACAAUGGGCGCAAGCCUGAUGCAGCCAUGCCGAGUGUGUGAAGAAGGCCUUCGGGUGGUAAAGCACUUUCAGCGAGGAGGCGUUACUCGCAGAAGAAGCACCGGCUAACUCCGUGCCAGCAGCCGCGGUAAUAC